RNAcentral lists this long non-coding RNA (1526 nucleotides) under Strigops habroptila (Kakapo). RNAcentral describes it as "lncRNA (ENSSHBG00005017852.1)". The record is from RNAcentral. Lineage: Eukaryota; Metazoa; Chordata; Aves; Psittaciformes; Psittacidae.
AUCAAAAUAUAUUUUAUUCUGGACCUCUUUCAGAUCUGAUUCAAAUUACAGUUGUCAAAGCAAUACAAUGCAAAGGGAAACUGCAACAGAAAAUGUGCCUAGAAAGGAUAUAAGGGCCUUGGGGACAAAUCAUUGAUGAAGAACCAAAAUACAUCAUAAAGUGUAAUUAACAUGGUCCAGGACAGUAUAGAACAUCUAUAUCAGUCUUCUUUAGACAAUAAUCAUGAAAACUGAACAAUAAAAGUCCUUUAAACAAGUACAAAAAAACUGUCAUGGGCUGGUUUACACUUUUACAACAGUUGUAAUUUAACUGGAUAACUGAAGAAAUGAUGCAGACAUUUUAAUCCAGUGCUAUAGGUAGGCUCACAGAAUUAGACCCAAAGGAUUUAAAUGGGAUUCUGAGAUGGAUGCAUAGAAAGACAGGGAACUCGAAUGCAGUUCAUUUCUUAUUCCACCAUUAAUUCUGAGCCCAGUUUUCCCCCUUCCUUUUAUCCUCCAUUUAGAUGUUUGCCCAUUAAUGACUUAAACUGGAAAGAACAGGAACUAUAACGUAUGCAAAGGCUUAUGCAUACGUUUGCCUUUAUAUUUGGGAAACAGGCAAGACAGAAUUAAUCGGUAUGUAAGACUAAGCAUGUGCAUACGUUUAUACAAAGUCAGGGUCUUACCGACAUUUGGCAUACCCAAUUUAAAGGAACAAUUUGGACAGUUUACCUCACUACUGAAGACGUCGUCGUUGUGCUAUAAAAGAUAAUAAUUAAUGUUAUGGUUUGCUUUUUUUUCCUUUUUGCUUCACAUAAUCACAGAACCUAGCACACCUUGCAUGCAUGCAUUUAGCAGUGUAUAAAACAAGAGGCGAGAAGAGGUGUGAGCAGGAGCAGCACUGUGGCAUGCUAGUAAAGGACAACAAUAAAAUACCUAUUGGCCAGAUCCUCUGCUAGUGGAAACUGGCAUCAUUCCACUACAGUGGGGCACUGUGGAUUAACACCAGGUUGGGAGUCUCCACCUGCACGUCCAGAGAACUCAAGUCAACAGAUCUGACGUUCCUGCUGGACUGUGUUUCAAACACCUGAAAACCCUGGACCUGUGAGACUGAAGCUCUGUUUUACCUAUUUCUGAAUAUGUGAUACUAUGCUUAAGCAACUAGAAUUACAACCAAAACAGCUGAUGAUUGAGAAAGAGGAAAAAUGGCAAUACCCUAAAACAUGGCUGUGUGAUUUUGCAGCUAUGCCACAGAAUUCCACCACAAUUGUUUAGAUUGGCUGAAAGAAUCAUCCAGUAACUUGUAUGAAAAUGAAUAAACUGUCCAUAUUAAAAUACAAAAGUACUAUCAAGAAUCACUUCUGACUUUCAAAUUUAAAUUCAGUGCAAUUGACAAAUGCAUUGCUAAAUGAAAAAUGCAGCUUAAACAUACUCAAAACAUUUGUGUCUAUUCCUGGGAGCACAGUUUAAAAUUAUUGCACAGAUUUUUUUUUUUAUUUUUAUUUUUUUUUCAUUAAAUGACAGAGGUCAGCCACAGUCAUGGACCU